This 541-nucleotide ribosomal RNA is filed under the name uncultured bacterium. Its description in RNAcentral is "bacterial SSU rRNA". It matches the Rfam family "Bacterial small subunit ribosomal RNA", at positions 777 to 1318 of the family's 1533-position model. The record is from RNAcentral.
AAUAGAUACCCUGGUAGUCCACGCCGUAAACGUUGGAUACUAGGUGUGGCGGUCUUACCAACGACUGCCGUGCCGAAGCUAACGCAUUAAGUAUCCCGCCUGGGGAGUACGGCCGCAAGGCUAAAACUCAAAGGAAUUGACGGGUCCCCGCACAAGCGGCGGAGCAUGCGGCUUAAUUCGAUGCAACCCGAAGAACCUUACCUGGGUUUGACAUCACGGGAAAAGCUGUAGAAAUACAGUGUCCAUUAGGGCCCGUGACAGGUGGUGCAUGGCUGUCGUCAGCUCGUGUCGUGAGAUGUUGGGUUAAGUCCCGCAACGAGCGCAACCCUUGUCCUAUGUUGCCAGCGGUUCGGCCGGGGACUCAUAGGAGACUGCCGGGGAUAACUCGGAGGAAGGUGAGGACGACGUCAAGUCAUCAUGCCCCUUAUAUCCAGGGCUGCACGCAUGCUACAAUGGCCGGUACAACGGGCAGCGAUCCCGCGAGGGUGAGCGAAUCCUAAAAAGCCGGUCCUAGUUCGGAUUGAAGUCUGCAACUCGACUU